RNAcentral lists this ribosomal RNA (253 nucleotides) under uncultured bacterium. RNAcentral's name for it is "partial 16S ribosomal RNA". It matches the Rfam family "Bacterial small subunit ribosomal RNA", at positions 524 to 776 of the family's 1533-position model. The record is from RNAcentral.
UACGGGGGGGGCAAGCGUUGUUCGGAAUUACUGGGCGUAAAGGGCUCGUAGGCGGCCAACUAAGUCAGACGUGAAAUCCCUCGGCUUAACCGGGGAACUGCAUCUGAUACUGGAUGGCUUGAGUUCGGGAGAGGGAUGUGGAAUUCCAGGUGUAGCGGUGAAAUGCGUAGAUAUCUGGAGGAACACCGGUGGCGAAGGCGGCAUCCUGGACCGACAUUGACGCUGAGGCGCGAAAGCCAGGGGAGCAAACAGG